AUAUUUACCUUCCUCCCUAUCAGGACAUGGCAGCUCCCAUGUUUGACAUGAUUUGUGUGAAAACAUCUGCCCCCAGGAGAGUUGUGAAUCAGGGUAAGAUGAGGAGCUUUGCUGUGAAAUGGCACAAGGUUUUUGGUUAUUCUUUCCAAAUGACUCCUCAGGAGGAAAAGCUGUCCAGCUGCCGCCUUCCGGUUGCUGGUCCAAGAACACGUAAGACUGGACAGUAUUGGGGGCGAGAUGAUGGAUAGCACCUGGUUUUCUUUGUUGGUUCCACUGCCCCCUCUGGAGAAGUGUUCCUUCCACAGGAACGAGCCCCGAACCCAGCAUCCAGGCCUUUAGGGACCAGGCCGUCUGAGGCUGGGCUGAGCUGAGUUAGGCUCACUCCCGGAUUGUGGGGACCUGUUCAGCUCUUCUCCCUGGAACCCUGCAAGCUCCGUGUUUGGAGCCCCUGCAGGCUGAGACUCUGGACAUGGUGAUGCUCUGUGACGUUGGACUCCCGGGGCCUCUAGGCAUCUUUAAAGCUGUGCUCUCUGCCCCAAUAGAAACCAGUCUGGGGGAGUCUGAAGAGUCAGGGCAGAAUUACAGCCGGGCCGGAUGCCCCAGAAGAAGACCACAGGGCCUCUCUGGGCACCCUUCUCUGGUGCCCCUGUGUGGGGCUCCCUCUGAGCUCCCGCAUGGAACACAGUGCUGGGAAAAUGAUGGGUCCCUGACUGAGGGCUGCUGUUCUGCUGUUUUCUGUCUCUUCCUCCUUCCAUGGGGCCUUUGACGAUUCUCCUCGAGAAGUGUACUUUGUGUCUUUUUGUCCAGGCAGAGUCUGUUCUGCCUGUUCUUCUUUGAGAGCCGAAAGGUGCUUGUGUCCCUUCCAACCUGUGCCUUUUGAAAGCAUCAGGGCUUGAUUUUGCUCUGUGCCAGUUCUGGGAAGGGGCUCGGAACUCUCUCCAAGCCUUGGUCAGGGUGGGGCCGGGGGAGGAGUUAGAGCUCUUUCCUUUUACCCCAGCGCAGGCCCCCGCACUCUCUCAGCACUUUUACUUAAGAAAGAGAGAACUUGGGCUAGUUCUGGUGUGACUUGGAAUUUCUGACUACGCUUCGCUGACAUCUGUGUGAUUUGUCAAGCUGACAUUGCUGUCUUUAUGUGGAAGGCCCUGGGCUCAGACUGUAGAGGCGAAGAGGGCUCCUGAGAUGGGGCAGCGUGUGGGGAUACAGACAAGUUGCCAAGUUGAUGAAUAUCCUUGGCGUGUGUGUGUGUGUGUGUGUGUGUGUGUGUGUGUGUGUGUGUUGGGGAGGGCAUGUGACUGCCUGACCUUAGUAUAUGGGAGGUGGUUCUGGGAGGCCACCUGGCCCUUGGCCCCUGGCCAUUCUCACUGUUGGGCUGGCCUCAGAUGCUUACACCACUCCCUCAGUCAGAUGGAUGGGCAGAUGGAUGGACAAGUAGAUAAUCUCACUGUUUUCCUUUUAGAAAGAACCACAGACAGCUCUGAUGAGCAAGGGUUAGACAGAGCAGCUGAGCGGAACCUUGCAUGCUGACCUCCCUCUUCAUGCCCCCCAGCACGUGCCUGGAGUGUAGGGAGCAUAGUGCUGGCAGCUGAGGAGUAUGUUGAUGUUAAGGAGUGAAAAGGAGAAACUGAGGAGGUCGUGAUGACAAUUGUUUGAUAACAAUAAUAAGGUAUUUAUUGAGUGUUUUCUAAGUUCAGAUACUGUGUAAGUUACACUUCCAUACACUCCCCCACACUAUAUUUUAAAUUUCCUACUAACCGUAUAAAGUAAAUCCUACCAAUGGCCCCAUUUUACAGAUAAGGAAACUGAGUCGCUAUUCCCUGGACCUUAUCUACUUCACUAGCGGGACUUUCAAGCAGGAACUAACACUCAUUGGACUUUUACAGUGUACACGGAUGCUGUGCCAGGUGCAAUAGAAGUAUUUCAUCCACCCCACGAUUCUGUGUGUGGGCACCAUUACUUUCCCCAUUUUAUGAGUGGAAACCUGACAUGUAGGGGAGGAAGCCUGCCUAAGUUCCCACCGCGGAGUCCGAUGAGCCCCGGGAGUGGAAGUCAGACUGCCAAGAACGGAUCCAUAGGCGGCCACAGUCCUCCCACCCUGCUUCAGAACCCAGUGUCCUAGCGCGUGGUCCCACUGGAGUGACCCGCUCUCCACUGUCCUUCUCCUUGCCACCCUCCACGCCCACUUCAUUACUGUGCUGACCGCUUGGCUGAGACCUGCUCCCUCUCCCCCGUCCCUUUCGCGGUUCAGCUUCUGCUCCGACUCCCUGGCCUCGCUCUCCAGCAUGCUGCAGGGGAGGCACCUUCCCAAGCCUGACCUCAGUCCCUCUCCCUGAGGAGCCUGGCCAGCAUGGAUAUGACCUCUCUCCUGUAGGGGGCCGGGCUGAGAUGCAGCCAAAUGAGGAGCUGGGAAGGUUUUCCCCAAGAGCUCAGGCCAAGGGGACACGAUGUUUGGGCAGUGGAGAGCCAUCACCCGCUUUUUGUUCUCCAUCUUGGGGAGAUAACUCUGGGGCUCAUUCCCUCCCUGACCCAUGGGCUGCCAGAAGGCAAUCCUAGUUUGCACCAUCUAACAAGUCUGACAGAGGAAUUUCCCCCUUUGAUGUCAACGGUAUCCCUGGCCGAAUGGAGAACUCAUGGAGUUCUUGCGUGGAGAACUCAUCUUCCAGAUCUGUGCUUCCCAGAAAUGAAAUUUACCCAAACCAUUCUCUCUCCUUCAUGAUUUUGGCACUGAAAA
Mustela lutreola (European mink) is the source of this 2728-nucleotide long non-coding RNA. RefSeq lists it as uncharacterized. The record is from RefSeq and is a predicted model, not a curated record. NCBI's taxonomy places the organism in Eukaryota, Metazoa, Chordata, Mammalia, Carnivora, Mustelidae. The transcript has 2 exons.